AAGACUAUACUUUCAGGGAUCAUUUCUAUAGUGUGUAACUGAGAAAUGCGUUUCGAAAGUGUUUGGUCUCGCUACCCACGAUGAUGAGGUAUAAUGCAUCCCCUUCUGAACGCGAAGCGGAUAGAGAAUAUUGAUUUAUCAACCGUUUUCUAUCAUUGAUGACCGUUCCGCUUCUGCGAAGAAUGUGGAAGAAGGGGCUGCGUUCAGAGUGGU
Molecule: small nucleolar RNA, 213 nt
Organism: Conger conger (European conger)
Lineage: Eukaryota; Metazoa; Chordata; Actinopteri; Anguilliformes; Congridae
Product: small nucleolar RNA U3
Exons: 1
Source: RefSeq, a predicted model, not a curated record